This 649-nucleotide ribosomal RNA is filed under the name uncultured soil bacterium. Its description in RNAcentral is "bacterial SSU rRNA". It matches the Rfam family "Bacterial small subunit ribosomal RNA", at positions 35 to 670 of the family's 1533-position model. The record is from RNAcentral.
GCUGGCGGCGCGCUUAACACAUGCAAGUCGAGCGAGAACCGGGGCUUCGGCCCCGGGGAAAGCGGCGAACGGGUGAGUAACACGUGAGUCAUCCACCCUCGGCACCGGGAUAGCCCGGGGAAACCCGGAUUAAUACCGGAUGGCCCGUCUGCCCUUCGGGGCGGCCGGAAAAGGUAGCUUCGGCCUCCGGCCGAGGACGAUCUCGCGGCGGAUUAGCUUGUUGGCGGGGUAACGGCCCACCAAGGCGACGAUCCGUAGCUGGUCUGAGAGGACGAUCAGCCACACUGGGACUGAGACACGGCCCAGACUCCUACGGGAGGCAGCAGUGGGGAAUCUUGCGCAAUGGGCGAAAGCCUGACGCAGCGACGCCGCGUGCGGGAAGAAGGCCUUCGGGUUGUAAACCGCUUUCAGGAGGGACGAAGCCACUCGGGUUAAUAGCCCAGAGGGUGACGGUACCUCCAGAAGAAGCCCCGGCUAACUACGUGCCAGCAGCCGCGGUAAUACGUAGGGGGCAAGCGUUGUCCGGAUUUAUUGGGCGUAAAGAGCGUGUAGGCGGCUAUGCAGGUCCGCUGUGAAAACUCGAGGCUCAACCUCGAGACGUCGGUGGAAACCGCAUGGCUAGAGUCCCGGAAGAGGAGAGUGGAAUUCC